UACUUCAUAUACGAAGC
Molecule: small RNA, 17 nt
Filed under: Bombyx mori (domestic silkworm)
Lineage: Eukaryota; Metazoa; Arthropoda; Insecta; Lepidoptera; Bombycidae
Description: ovarian small RNA-21614
Source: RNAcentral